GACGAACGCUGGCGGCGUGCUUAACACAUGCAAGUCGAACGGAAAGGCCUCUUUCGGGGGGUACUCGAGUGGCGAACGGGUGAGUAACACGUGAGUAGCCUGCCCUUUACUUUGGGAUAACUUCAGGAAACUGGGGCUAAUACCGGAUAGGAGCUCCUGCUGCAUGGUGGGGGUUGGACAGUUUCGGCGGUUGGGGAUGGACUCGCGGCUUAUCCGCUUGUUGGUGGGGUAGUGGCUUACCAAGGCUUUGACGGGUAGCCGGCCUGAGAGGGUGACCGGCGACAUUGAGACUGAGAUACGGCCCAGACGCCUACGGGAGGCAGCAGUGGGGAAUAUUGCACAAUGGGUGGAAGCCUGAUGCAGCAACGCCGUGUGCGGGAUGACGGCCUUCGGGUUGUAAACCGCUUUCGCUCAUGACGAAGCUUUGUGUGACGGUAGUGGGUAAAGAAGCACCGGCUAACUACGUG
RNAcentral lists this ribosomal RNA (467 nucleotides) under uncultured bacterium. RNAcentral's name for it is "partial 16S ribosomal RNA". It matches the Rfam family "Bacterial small subunit ribosomal RNA", at positions 28 to 507 of the family's 1533-position model. The record is from RNAcentral.